Molecule: long non-coding RNA, 521 nt
Filed under: Chlamydomonas reinhardtii
Lineage: Eukaryota; Viridiplantae; Chlorophyta; Chlorophyceae; Chlamydomonadales; Chlamydomonadaceae
Description: long non-coding RNA (CREI_LNC000706)
Source: RNAcentral
GGGCACAUCGUGCGCGCCGGCGCGAACCUGGAAAGGCCACAGCUUAAUGUCCGCCUGGACAAUGGGGUCCGAGAACUUGCGGCCAAUCAGGCGCUUGGCGUCGAACACCGUGUGGCGCGGGUUCAUAGCGACCUGUGGAAGGCAGGUCGGCGAAGGCGGGUAAGUGGCUGCGCGCGCUGAAGUCGGCCCGCCCAAUUCGCAACGUACCUGGUUCUUGGCGGCAUCACCAAUCAGACGCUCAGUGUCCGUGAAGGCCACGUACGAGGGAGUGGUGCGGUUGCCCUGAUCGUUGGCAAUAAUCUCCACGCGGUCAUUCUGCCAGACACCCACGCAGCUGCGAGCAUUGAAGCACGCCAAGGGUCAGCUGGUGUCCAAGAGACGUUGAAGGUGCAGAGGGAGCUCACCUGUACGUGGUGCCCAGGUCAAUACCGAUAGCGGGGGCCUCCUUGCCCAUGUUUACUGACUCUUAAGCGAGUUGAGUGGUUAUGUAUAGCGGCAGAAUAGUCGCGUAUGUAUAAGUG